Molecule: ribosomal RNA, 410 nt
Filed under: uncultured microorganism
Description: bacterial SSU rRNA
Rfam family: Bacterial small subunit ribosomal RNA
Source: RNAcentral
CAGCAGCCGCGGUAAUACGUAGGGGGCGAGCGUUGUCCGGAAUUAUUGGGCGUAAAGCGCGCGCAGGCGGUCCUUUAAGUCUGAUGUGAAAGCCCACGGCUCAACCGUGGAGGGUCAUUGGAAACUGGGGGGCUUGAGUGCAGGAGAGGAGAGCGGAAUUCCACGUGUAGCGGUGAAAUGCGUAGAGAUGUGGAGGAACACCAGUGGCGAAGGCGGCUCUCUGGCCUGUAACUGACGCUGAGGCGCGAAAGCGUGGGGAGCAAACAGGAUUAGAUACCCUGGUAGUCCACGCCGUAAACGAUGAGUGCUAAGUGUUAGAGGGGUCACACCCUUUAGUGCUGUAGCUAACGCGAUAAGCACUCCGCCUGGGGAGUACGGCCGCAAGGCUGAAACUUAAAGGAAUUGGCGGG